ACCAAGAUGAAGUCGGUUCACCGCUUCUUCGAGGAGGGCGACAAGGUCAAGGUGACCCUGCGCUUCCGCGGUCGUGAGAUGGCUCACCAGGAUAUCGGUCUGCGCCUCCUGGAGCGCGUGAAGAACGAGACGGCCGAGAUCGCCAAGGUGGAAAGCGAGCCGAUGCUCGAAGGCCGCCAGAUGAUCAUGAUCCUGGCGCCGCGCUGAUCCGUUCGCCAAUUGCUGUUUACGCCGCCUCCUGAUCGGGGCGGC
Molecule: unclassified non-coding RNA, 252 nt
Filed under: Methylobacterium brachiatum
Lineage: Bacteria; Pseudomonadati; Pseudomonadota; Alphaproteobacteria; Hyphomicrobiales; Methylobacteriaceae
Description: Long range pseudoknot
Source: RNAcentral